RNAcentral lists this ribosomal RNA (508 nucleotides) under uncultured bacterium. RNAcentral describes it as "partial 16S ribosomal RNA". It matches the Rfam family "Bacterial small subunit ribosomal RNA", at positions 30 to 523 of the family's 1533-position model. The record is from RNAcentral.
AUUGAACGCUGGCGGCAUGCCUUACACAUGCAAGUCGAACGGCAGCGGGGGAGAAGCUUGCUUUUCCUGCCGGCGAGUGGCGAACGGGUGAGUAAUACAUCGGAACGUGCCCUGUAGUGGGGGAUAACUAGUCGAAAGAUUAGCUAAUACCGCAUACGAUCUACGGAUGAAAGUGGGGGAUCGCAAGACCUCAUGCCCCUGGAGCGGCCGAUAUCUGAUUAGCUAGUUGGUGGGGUAAAAGCCUACCAAGGCAACGAUCAGUAGCUGGUCUGAGAGGACGACCAGCCACACUGGGACUGAGACACGGCCCAGACUCCUACGGGAGGCAGCAGUGGGGAAUUUUGGACAAUGGGGGCAACCCUGAUCCAGCAAUGCCGCGUGAGUGAAGAAGGCCUUCGGGUUGUAAAGCUCUUUUGUCAGGGAAGAAACGGUAGUAGCGAAUAACUACUACUAAUGACGGUACCUGAAGAAUAAGCACCGGCUAACUACGUGCCAGCCGCCGCGGUAA